UCGAGGGGUAACAGGAGUAGCUUGCUAUUUGCUGACGACCGGCGCACGGGUGCGUAACGCGUAUAGAAUCUACCUUAUACUGGGGGAUAGCCUUUGGAAACGAAGAUUAAUACCCCAUAGUAUUAUUUUUUGGCAUCAUUAAAUAAUUAAAGUUUCGGCGGUAUAAGAUGACUAUGCGUUCUAUUAGUUAGUUGGUAAGGUAACGGCUUACCAAGACUUCGAUAGAUAGGGGUCCUGAGAGGGAGAUCCCCCACACUGGUACUGAGACACGGACCAGACUCCUACGGGAGGCAGCAGUGAGGAAUAUUGGACAAUGGAGGCAACUCUGAUCCAGCCAUGCCGCGUGUAGGAAGACUGCCCUAUGGGUUGUAAACUACUUUUAUAUGGGAAGAAUAAGAUCUACGUGUAGAUUGAUGACGGUACCAUAAGAAUAAGCACCGGCUAACUCCGUGCCAGCAGCCGCGGUAAUACGGAGGGUGCAAGCGUUAUCCGGAAUCAUUGGGUUUAAAGGGUCCGUAGGCGGGCAUAUAAGUCAGUGGUGAAAGUCUGUGGCUUAACCAUAGAAUUGCCAUUGAUACUGUAUGUCUUGAAUUAUUGUGAAGUGGUUAGAAUAUGUAGUGUAGCGGUGAAAUGCUUAGAGAUUACAUAGAAUACCGAUUGCGAAGGCAGAUCACUAACAAUAUAUUGACGCUGAUGGACGAAAGCGUAGGUAGCGAACAGGAUUAGAUACCCUGGUAGUCUACGCCGUAAACGAUGGAUACUAGUUGUUUGGUUUUCGGACUGAGUGACUAAGCGAAAGUGAUAAGUAUCCCACCUGGGGAGUACGUUCGCAAGAAUGAAACUCAAAGGAAUUGACGGGGGCCCGCACNAGCGGUGGAGCAUGUGGUUUAAUUCGAUGAUACGCGAGGAACCUUACCAGGGCUUAAAUGUAGUCUGACAGCUUUAGAGAUAGAGUUUUCUUCGGACAGAUUACAAGGUGCUGCAUGGUUGUCGUCAGCUCGUGCCGUGAGGUGUCAGGUUAAGUCCUAUAACGAGCGCAACCCCUGUGGUUAGUUGCCAGCGAGUAAUGUCGGGAACUCUAGCCAGACUGCCGGUGCAAACCGUGAGGAAGGUGGGGAUGACGUCAAAUCAUCACGGCCCUUACGUCCUGGGCCACACACGUGCUACAAUGGUAGGGACAGAGAGCAGCCACUUAGCGAUAAGGAGCGAAUCUAUAAACCCUAUCUCAGUUCGGAUUGGAGUCUGCAACUCGACUCCAUGAAGCUGGAAUCGCUAGUAAUCGGAUAUCAGCCAUGAUCCGGUGAAUACGUUCCCGGGCCUUGUACACACCGCCCGUCAAGCCAUG
Molecule: ribosomal RNA, 1345 nt
Filed under: Dokdonia genika
Lineage: Bacteria; Pseudomonadati; Bacteroidota; Flavobacteriia; Flavobacteriales; Flavobacteriaceae
Description: bacterial SSU rRNA
Rfam family: Bacterial small subunit ribosomal RNA
Source: RNAcentral